Oncorhynchus keta (chum salmon) is the source of this 298-nucleotide long non-coding RNA. RefSeq lists it as uncharacterized. The record is from RefSeq and is a predicted model, not a curated record. NCBI's taxonomy places the organism in Eukaryota, Metazoa, Chordata, Actinopteri, Salmoniformes, Salmonidae. The transcript is spliced from 3 exons.
GAUUGUUUCUGAGGUGAUUGUUUCUGAGGUGAUUGUUUCUGAGGUGAUUGUUUCUGAGGUGAUUGUUUCUGAGGUGAUUGUUUCUGAGGUGAUUGUUACUGAGGUGAAUGUUACUGAGGUGAUUGUUACUGAGGUGAUUGUUACUGAGGUGAUUGUUUCUGAGGUGAUUGUUACUGAGGUGAUUGUUACUGAGGUGAUUGUUUCUGAGGUGAUUGUUACUGAGGCGAUUGUUUCUGAGGUGAUUGUUUCUGAGGUGAUUGUUUCUGAGGUGAUUGUUUCUGAGGUGAUUGUUACUGAG